UACGUAGGGUGCAAGCGUUAAUCGGAAUUACUGGGCGUAAAGCGUGCGCAGGCGGUUUUGUAAGUCAGAUGUGAAAUCCCCGGGCUUAACCUGGGAACUGCAUUUGUGACUGCAUGGCUAGAGUUUGGCAGAGGGGGGUAGAAUUCCACGUGUAGCAGUGAAAUGCGUAGAUAUGUGGAGGAACACCGAUGGCGAAGGCAGCCCCCUGGGUCAAGACUGACGCUCAUGCACGAAAGCGUGGGGAGCAAACAGG
RNAcentral lists this ribosomal RNA (253 nucleotides) under uncultured bacterium. Its description in RNAcentral is "partial 16S ribosomal RNA". It matches the Rfam family "Bacterial small subunit ribosomal RNA", at positions 524 to 776 of the family's 1533-position model. The record is from RNAcentral.